GGAAGGAUCAUUAUUGAAAUAAACCUGAUGGGUUGCUGCUGGCUCUCUAGGGAGCAUGUGCACACUUGUCAUCUUUAUAUCUCCACCUGUGCACCUUUUGUAGACCUGGAUAUCUCUCUGAAUGCUAGCAUUCAGGUAUGAGGAUUGACUUUUCUGUCUUUCCUUACAUUUCCAGGCCUAUGUUUAUUCAUAUACCCCAAUGUAUGUUAUAGAAUGUAAUAAAUGGGCCUUUGUGCCUAUAAAACCUAUACAACUUUCAGCAACGGAUCUCUUGGCUCUCGCAUCGAUGAAGAACGCAGCGAAAUGCGAUAAGUAAUGUGAAUUGCAGAAUUCAGUGAAUCAUCGAAUCUUUGAACGCACCUUGCGCUCCUUGGUAUUCCGAGGAGCAUGCCUGUUUGAGUGUCAUUAAUAUAUCAACCUCUUCAGCUUUUGCUUGUUGAGUGUUGGAUGUGGGGGUCUUUUUGCUGGCAUCUUCUGAGGUCAGCUCCCCUGAAAUGCAUUAGCGGAACAAUUUGUUGACCGUUCAUUGGUGUGAUAACUAUCUACGCUAUUGACGUGAGGCAGUUCAGCUUCUAACAGUCCAUUGACUUGGACAAAUUUUCAUUAAUGUGACCUCAAAUCAGGUAGGACUACCCGCUGAACUUAAGCAUAUCAAUAAGCGGAGGAAAAGAAACUAACAAGGAUUCCCCUAGUAACUGCGAGUGAAGCGGGAAAAGCUCAAAUUUAAAAUCUGUCAGUCUUUGGCUGUCCGAGUUGUAAUCUAGAGAAGUGUUAUCCGCGCUGGACCGUGUACAAGUCUCCUGGAAUGGAGCGUCAUAGAGGGUGAGAAUCCCGUCUUUGACACGGACUGCCAGGGCUUUGUGAUGCGCUCUCAAAGAGUCGAGUUGUUUGGGAAUGCAGCUCAAAAUGGGUGG
Molecule: ribosomal RNA, 914 nt
Filed under: uncultured fungus
Lineage: Eukaryota; Fungi
Description: eukaryotic LSU rRNA
Rfam family: Eukaryotic large subunit ribosomal RNA (bases 610-914)
Source: RNAcentral